This 488-nucleotide ribosomal RNA is filed under the name Macrotermes convulsionarius. Its description in RNAcentral is "eukaryotic LSU rRNA". The record is from RNAcentral. Lineage: Eukaryota; Metazoa; Arthropoda; Insecta; Blattodea; Termitidae.
GGGAAUUUGAAGGAGAGUUGAUAGUGCUUGAAAUUGUUGGGGGGGACCGUAUGGGGGCCGGCGAUGGGGCCCCUCUCGGAUGUGGAAUUGUGACCAUUCGGUCCGCCAUUCGACUUGGGGCAGGGACCUUUGCCGAUUGAAACCGCGGCCUACGCCCUCUACUUUGUUACGCCCGUGGAGACGUCGUCGUCCCGAUCGUGGCUGGCAGCGCGCGCCUUAUGGCGGGCUUCGGCAUCUGCGCGCUCCUGGCAUCGGCCUUUGGGCUCCCCAUUCGACCCGUCUUGAAACACGGACCAAGGAGUCUAGGCGAACGGGGAAAUUCAUUCUCGUUUCGGAUAUCGCCGAUGAACACCUCCGUGACGGACGGGGUUCGCGUCAUCGACGCGGGUCGCGUCCGUCGACUUUCGCCGAAGGCGUGCACUUCUCUCUUAUUAAUACAUCGCGACCCGUUCGAGGUCGGCGUAAGCGACGUUCGGGAGUCCAAUUGU